UUAAAUCUUGUUCUCAUUUAUUUUCCUGUGUCUAGUUGCGGGUUCUUGAACUUUGCUAGCAAUACCAAGUGUCUGCGUUGUCCAGAGCCAAGGCCCCAGGGACGUAUUGGGGAUUGGAAUUGUCCCAAAUGUGAUUUCUUCAACUUCGGAAAAAAACAAGACUUGCCUGAAGUGCAAUCAUCAACGCCCUCUUGAACAACCGAGUGCUGAGGACGAGGACCAUGAAUGGAGACGGCCCACUUGAGAAGUCAUGGAGUUGCCAAUAGCCUUAUGGCAUAGCUAUGUCACCUCCAGAUGCCAUUCGAUCCUGCGUGCUGCAACUCGUACUGAACAAAUGGAGGAAAAACAGCUUGUGGAGUUUUUUUAUGCAUGGUGGGGAUCGGAUAUAUUGGAUUGUAUCGUAAAUUUUCGACAAUUUUCUAUGUUCGUCUUUUUAUUUCCAGCGAUAAUUUUCUAUGUUCUGCUUUG
Neltuma alba is the source of this 468-nucleotide long non-coding RNA. RefSeq lists it as uncharacterized. Lineage: Eukaryota; Viridiplantae; Streptophyta; Magnoliopsida; Fabales; Fabaceae. The record is from RefSeq and is a predicted model, not a curated record. The transcript has 2 exons.